CUUUUUUCAGGAGUGGAUCUACAAUUUCAUCUCUUCUGGGGACAUUGAUAAAGAUCAGUUGUCAAAGGCUACAGUUACAGAUGCAGAUCUGCUAGACCUCAUCGAAAAGAUUGAGACAGCGGACGCUACAGCUCUUCUUGACCUUUUAGAAAGAAUCCUCGGAUGUGGGUACACUGGACCUCUAACAUGUGAAAGAAAGGAGGACAUUCUAAGUGCUGUUGUCCUACAUUCAUCUUUACAAAUACUUCCAAUGAUACAGCAAAUGUGCAAAGGAUUGGAACUGUAUGGCCUUCAUGAAAUGAUAAAACAGAAUCGGAUUUUAUUGCAGCCAUUGUUUGUUCCUGGACAUUUUGAAAAACCUGAUGCAGAUUUCCUUACAAUGGCCCUGUCACCUAUUUUAAGUGACAUGGGUUCAUUGAAACGACAGAGAGAAUCACAAAUUGUGAAUUACUUACAGGACUUCAUUCAGAGCCUUAAAGAUGAAGGUAGUGUAAAUCUAAAUGUUCAAAUUACAUAAGUUUUAUACCCACUUUAUUUUCACCUAAAAACAAAUGCUUUAGUCAGUUUGAAAAAAAUAAACUCAGGCUGCUUCAUGAUGU
This 599-nucleotide long non-coding RNA is filed under the name Danio rerio (zebrafish). Its description in RNAcentral is "lncRNA (ENSDARG00000117302.1)". The record is from RNAcentral. Lineage: Eukaryota; Metazoa; Chordata; Actinopteri; Cypriniformes; Danionidae.